This 2877-nucleotide ribosomal RNA is filed under the name Xanthomonas phaseoli pv. phaseoli. RNAcentral describes it as "23S ribosomal RNA". It matches the Rfam family "Bacterial large subunit ribosomal RNA". Lineage: Bacteria; Pseudomonadati; Pseudomonadota; Gammaproteobacteria; Lysobacterales; Lysobacteraceae. The record is from RNAcentral.
GGUCAAGCGAAUAAGCGCACACGGUGGAUGCCUAGGCGGUCAGAGGCGAUGAAGGACGUGGUAGCCUGCGAAAAGUGUCGGGGAGCUGGCAACAAGCUUUGAUCCGGCAAUGUCCGAAUGGGGAAACCCACUGCUUCGGCAGUAUCCUGCAGUGAAUUCAUAGCUGCUAGAAGCGAACCCGGUGAACUGAAAUAUCUAAGUAACCGGAGGAAAAGAAAUCAACCGAGAUUCCCUAAGUAGUGACGAGCGAACGGGGAGCAGCCCUUAAGCUGGAAUGGCUUUAGAAAAACAAUCUGGAAAGAUUGGCCAUAGAAGGUGAUAGCCCUGUAUUUAAAAGGGCCACUCCAGUGAAGACGAGUAGGGCGGGGCACGUGAAACCCUGUCUGAAUAUGGGGGACCAUCCUCCAAGGCUAAAUACUCCUGACCGACCGAUAGUGAACCAGUACCGUGAGGGAAAGGCGAAAAGAACCCCGGAGAGGGGAGUGAAAUAGAUCCUGAAACCGUGUGCGUACAAGCAGUAGGAGCUCGCAAGAGUGACUGCGUACCUUUUGUAUAAUGGGUCAGCGACUUACUGUUCGUGGCAAGCUUAACCGUAUAGGGGAGGCGAAGGGAAACCGAGUCUGAUAAGGGCGCAUAGUCGCGGGCAGUAGACCCGAAACCGGGUGAUCUAGUCAUGGCCAGGGUGAAGGUGCCGUAACAGGUACUGGAGGCCCGAACCCACGUCUGUUGCAAAAGACGGGGAUGAGCUGUGAUUAGGAGUGAAAAGCUAAUCGAACCCGGAGAUAGCUGGUUCUCCUCGAAAGCUAUUUAGGUAGCGCCUCAUAUGUAUCCUCUCGGGGGUAGAGCACUGUUAUGGCUAGGGGUCAUCGCGACUUACCAAACCAUUGCAAACUCCGAAUACCGAGACGGACUGUAUGGGAGACACACGGCGGGUGCUAACGUCCGUCGUGAAAAGGGAAACAACCCAGACCCACAGCUAAGGUCCCAAAUUCACUGCUAAGUGGAAAACGAUGUGGAAAGGCAUAGACAGCCAGGAGGUUGGCUUAGAAGCAGCCACCCUUUAAAGAAAGCGUAAUAGCUCACUGGUCGAGUCGGUCUGCGCGGAAGAUUUAACGGGGCUAAGCAGUGAACCGAAGCUUGGGGUGCAUAAAACUUGUUUUAUGCGCGGUAGAGGAGCGUUCCGUAAGCCUGCGAAGGUGGAUUGAGAAGUCUGCUGGAGGUAUCGGAAGUGCGAAUGCUGACAUGAGUAACGAUAAUGCGGGUGAAAAGCCCGCACGCCGAAAGCCCAAGGUUUCCUUGCGCAACGUUAAUCGACGCAGGGUUAGUCGGUCCCUAAGGCGAGGGCGAAAGCCGUAGUCGAUGGGAAGCAGGUUAAUAUUCCUGCACCUCGCGUGAGUGCGAUGGAGGGACGGAGAAGGUUAGGUGUACCGGGCGUUGGUUGUCCCGGGGAAAGGCGGUAGGUUUGGAUCUUUGGCAAAUCCGGGAUCCUUUAAGACCGAGCACCGAGACGAGCCUUUUGGCGAAGUCACUGAUACCACGCUUCCAGGAAAAGCUCCUAAGCUUCAGCUCACGAAGACCGUACCGUAAACCGACACAGGUGGGUAGGAUGAGAAUUCUCAGGCGCUUGAGAGAACUCGGGUGAAGGAACUAGGCAACAUGGCACCGUAACUUCGGGAGAAGGUGCACCCUUUUUGGUGGCUCGUGCGAGCUAUAGCUGAAGAGGGUCGCAGAAACCAGGCCGCUGCGACUGUUUAUCAAAAACACAGCACUCUGCAAACACGAAAGUGGACGUAUAGGGUGUGACGCCUGCCCGGUGCUGGAAGGUUAAUUGAUGGGGUCAGCCGCAAGGCGAAGCUCUUGAUCGAAGCCCCAGUAAACGGCGGCCGUAACUAUAACGGUCCUAAGGUAGCGAAAUUCCUUGUCGGGUAAGUUCCGACCUGCACGAAUGGCGUAACGACAGCGGCGCUGUCUCCACCCGAGACUCAGUGAAAUUGAAAUCGCUGUGAAGAUGCAGCGUUCCCGUGGCAAGACGGAAAGACCCCGUGAACCUUUACUAUAGCUUUACACUGAACGCUGAGUUCGUCUGUGUAGGAUAGGUGGGAGGCUAUGAAACUGUGGCGCUAGCUGCAGUGGAGCCAUCCUUGAAAUACCACCCUGUCGUGCUUGACGUUCUAACCUAGGUCCGUUAUCCGGAUCAGGGACCGUGUAUGGUGGGUAGUUUGACUGGGGCGGUCUCCUCCUAAAGAGUAACGGAGGAGCACGAAGGUACGCUCAGCGCGGUCGGACAUCGCGCACUGUGUGCAAAGGCAUAAGCGUGCUUGACUGCAAGAUCGACGGAUCAAGCAGGUACGAAAGUAGGUCUUAGUGAUCCGGUGGUUCUGUAUGGAAGGGCCAUCGCUCAACGGAUAAAAGGUACUCCGGGGAUAACAGGCUGAUACCGCCCAAGAGUUCAUAUCGACGGCGGUGUUUGGCACCUCGAUGUCGGCUCAUCACAUCCUGGGGCUGUAGUCGGUCCCAAGGGUAUGGCUGUUCGCCAUUUAAAGUGGUACGCGAGCUGGGUUCAGAACGUCGUGAGACAGUUCGGUCCCUAUCUGCCAUGGGCGUUGGAAGUUUGAGAGGGGCUGCUCCUAGUACGAGAGGACCGGAGUGGACGAACCUCUGGUGUUCCGGUUGUCACGCCAGUGGCAUUGCCGGGUAGCUAUGUUCGGAAGCGAUAACCGCUGAAAGCAUCUAAGCGGGAAGCGCGCCUCAAGAUGAGACUUCCCGGGGCACAAGCCCCUAAAGGAACCAUGUAGACUACGUGGUUGAUAGGUCAGGUGUGUAAGUACAGCAAUGUAUUGAGCUAACUGAUACUAAUGAUCCGUGCGGCUUGACCAU